Molecule: ribosomal RNA, 373 nt
Filed under: uncultured eukaryote
Lineage: Eukaryota
Description: partial 18S ribosomal RNA
Rfam family: Eukaryotic small subunit ribosomal RNA
Source: RNAcentral
CAAUAGCGUCUAUUAAAGUUGUUGCAGUUAAAAAGCUCGUAGUUGAAUUUUUGCUUGCCGCCGAUGUCGGAACUUCCGUACGUUCGGCGGCGUGCAUCCUUGGGUGGAACCUGUGUGGCAUUAGGUUGUCGUGCAGGGGAUGCUCAUCGUUUACUGUGAAAAAAUUAGAGUGUUCAAAGCAGGCUUACGCCGUUGAAUAUAUUAGCAUGGAAUAAUAAGAUAGGACCUUGGUACUAUUUUGUUGGUUUGCGCACCGAGGUAAUGAUUAACAGGGACAGUUGGGGGUAUUCGUAUUCCAUUGUCAGAGGUGAAAUUCUUGGAUUUCUGGAAGACGAACUACUGCGAAAGCAUUUACCAAGGAUGUUUUCAUUAA